CUAACUGUCAUGCACCCGAUCUCCUCUGAUCUCGGAAGCUAAGCAGGGUCAGGCCUGGUUAGUACUUGGAUGGGUGACUUUGAACUUCUAAU
Non-coding RNA from Cricetulus griseus (Chinese hamster), 92 nucleotides. NCBI's taxonomy places the organism in Eukaryota, Metazoa, Chordata, Mammalia, Rodentia, Cricetidae. The record is from Rfam.